RNAcentral lists this ribosomal RNA (301 nucleotides) under uncultured bacterium. Its description in RNAcentral is "partial 16S ribosomal RNA". It matches the Rfam family "Bacterial small subunit ribosomal RNA", at positions 509 to 809 of the family's 1533-position model. The record is from RNAcentral.
CAGUCGCCGCGGGAAAACGAGGGGAGCUAGCGUUGUUCGGAAUUACUGGGCGUAAAGCGCGCGUAGGCGGCUUUUUAAGUCAGAGGUGAAAGCCCGGGGCUCAACCCCGGAAUUGCCUUUGAAACUGGAAAGCUAGAAUCUUGGAGAGGUCAGUGGAAUUCCGAGUGUAGAGGUGAAAUUCGUAGAUAUUCGGAAGAACACCAGUGGCGAAGGCGACUGACUGGACAAGUAUUGACGCUGAGGUGCGAAAGCGUGGGGAGCAAACAGGAUUAGACCCCCGUAGUCCCUGUCUCUUAUACAC